CCUACGGGCGGCAGCAGUGAGGAAUAUUGGUCAAUGGCCGCAGGGCUGAACCAGCCAAGUCGCGUGAGGGAUGACGGUCCUAUGGAUUGUAAACCUCUUUUGUCAGGGAGCAAAGGGCGCCACGUGUGGCGCUUUGCGAGUACCUGAAGAAAAAGCAUCGGCUAACUCCGUGCCAGCAGCCGCGGUAAUACGGAGGAUGCGAGCGUUAGCCGGAUUUAUUGGGGUUAAAGGGUGCGCAGGCGGAAUGUCAAGUCAGCGGUAAAAUUUCGGGGCUCAACCCCGUCGUGCCGUUGAAACUGGCGUUCUUGAGUGAGCGAGAAGUAUGCUGAAUGCGUGGUGUAGCGGUGAAAUGCAUAGAUAUCACGCAGAACUCCGAUUGCGAAGGCAGCAUACCGGCGCUCAACUGACGCUCAUGCACGAAAGCGUGGGUAUCGAACAGGAUUAGAUACCCCAGUAGUC
Molecule: ribosomal RNA, 459 nt
Filed under: uncultured bacterium
Lineage: Bacteria
Description: partial 16S ribosomal RNA
Rfam family: Bacterial small subunit ribosomal RNA
Source: RNAcentral